AUUAAUAGUAAUUUAGUAUCACUAUUAGGCAACUUAAAGAAAAAUCAGAAAAAAGAAGAGAAACAGAUGAUCAUGAAAAUAUCAUCAUCGAUAUCAUAUCCUCUCAAUUCCAAAUUGCAAAAGAAAUUUAGAGUUUUCCAAAUCCAAAACCACAUUCAAUCAUAAGCAUAUCAAAAUCUAAACUAGCUCAAAUCAAGAUGGGUUAAAAUUUGAUUGAGUCAAUCUUCUUAAUAAAAAUUUC
This 241-nucleotide long non-coding RNA is filed under the name Lathyrus oleraceus (garden pea). RNAcentral's name for it is "Pisum sativum (pea) long non-coding RNA (PSAT_LNC002803)". Lineage: Eukaryota; Viridiplantae; Streptophyta; Magnoliopsida; Fabales; Fabaceae. The record is from RNAcentral.